GAUGAACGCUGGCGGCGUGCUUAACACAUGCAAGUCGAACGGAAAGGCCCAAGCUUGCUUGGGUACUCGAGUGGCGAACGGGUGAGUAACACGUGGGUGAUCUGCCCUGCACUUCGGGAUAAGCCUGGGAAACUGGGUCUAAUACCGGAUAGGACCACUUCUUGGAUGUUGUGGUGGAAAGUUUUUUCGGUGUGGGCUGAGCUCGCGGCCUAUCAGCUUGUUGGUGGGGUAAUGGCCUACCAAGGCGUCGACGGGUAGCCGGCCUGAGAGGGUGUACGGCCACAUUGGGACUGAGAUACGGCCCAGACUCCUACGGGAGGCAGCAGUGGGGAAUAUUGCACAAUGGGCGCAAGCCUGAUGCAGCGACGCCGCGUGGGGGAUGACGGCCUUCGGGUUGUAAACUCCUUUCGCUAGGGACGAAGCGUUUUGUGACGGUACCUGGAGAAGAAGCACCGGCUAACUACGUG
This 467-nucleotide ribosomal RNA is filed under the name uncultured bacterium. Its description in RNAcentral is "partial 16S ribosomal RNA". It matches the Rfam family "Bacterial small subunit ribosomal RNA", at positions 28 to 507 of the family's 1533-position model. The record is from RNAcentral.